AAAGAACAAUCUGAAAGCUCCACCAGUUCAUUGGCUUAUAGUUGGAACAAAGAAUUCCCAGGCUGGUGUGGUUGUCUGUUACUUCCAGAUUCGGUUGUAAGAGCAGAUGUUAAGCAGGGCCGGAGAAACAUGGCUGUAGAUUUGACCCGCCGUGGCACAUACACGCAGCCGUGUCCCCAUUCCUCUCCUCCCACUUACUUAACCAACCUUGCCAAGGAGACAUACAGGAAAGUUGCUUAGAAUAAAAUUGAUGUUGAUUUGCAAAUGCGGAUGGUAUAUGAUCCAAGUUGGCUAGGUGAACCCCUGGCGCCGAGAUGUGCUGUUCUAAUGACUGCACAGCAGAGCACAGCACCGAAUGUGCACUAUCUCCUUGCCCUUGAUUCGAUGGACCAUAUGUAUAACCGUUAGAUCCGAUAAUGUAUAUAUUAUGUGGUUUUGUCCCAUAUUGAGUGUUUUAAAGUAACAUUAUCCCACAUUUCUUGUGGUGACAAAUUAGCCAUAAGACUCUCUCUAUAAAUUGGUUGCCUUGGGUUGGUUCUUAUGACACACCAAAAUUAGUCAAGUGGCAUUUCCAUAUAUAGUUGUGGUUACUUGUUUUGCUUGAGGGCUCUUGGGAGAUUGAGGUUUGUGGGCUUUAGAAUUGUUAUUCGAGCUUAUUUUGUAUUCUCUUUUGAUAGUGAAAUUUUCUUUCGCCUUUACCCGUGGAUGUACAAGAUGACCGAACCGCAUAUAUUCUUGUAUUCUUAAAUUUCUUGUUCUUACUUUUGUCAUUGUUUAGGUUCUAAAAAUAUUUGUUUGGGCAAUAUUCCUAAGAAAUUUGUAUCAGAGCCCUUAUUAUAUUUGUCGAAAUCUUUUAUUACC
Long non-coding RNA from Andrographis paniculata, 861 nucleotides. RefSeq lists it as uncharacterized. The transcript is spliced from 3 exons. Lineage: Eukaryota; Viridiplantae; Streptophyta; Magnoliopsida; Lamiales; Acanthaceae. The record is from RefSeq and is a predicted model, not a curated record.